Glycine soja is the source of this 309-nucleotide long non-coding RNA. RefSeq lists it as uncharacterized. The record is from RefSeq and is a predicted model, not a curated record. Lineage: Eukaryota; Viridiplantae; Streptophyta; Magnoliopsida; Fabales; Fabaceae. The transcript is spliced from 4 exons.
AUUCUUGCUUUGCUUUUGAAUUUCUUUGUAAAUUCACUUCUAAUGAUGUGUGCUUUCUUUGAGGUUUCGGUACUGUUUAUAUAGGCACAAUUCACAAGACCGGUGCAAAGAUAAUAGAAGACGACGACUGAAGAUGAUGAGUAUGGCGUCCACAAGAGCCACCGAGAACCACAACACAGGCACUUCCAAAAGCCGUUUCCUUCCUUCUUUUAAGAAAAUGGAUUCCUCAAAAUAGAAGAUGAUGGAUCAAUGCUUAUUGAAAAAUUCUUGCUUGGAUGAGAAUGUCCUUCUUCCCAUGUUGAUAUGGAU